UGCGGUGAAUGGUGUGGAGGGGGAGCUUGAGCAGGGGUAGGGGAGGGAGGCGAGCGAGUUACUUUUUAGCUUCCGCUAAGUACUUGGCAGCUCGCCAGGCCCAGAGGCUUCUGGGAAGCCAAAGCCUCCCCAGUAUAAACUGCCAGCUUUAAGCAGCCCUGACAGUUCUGCUCCUUCCAAACUUGGCAGCCAUUCAAAGUGCUCUUUCAUUUGAAAUGCUGGAAGCCUGCCAUGUGCAAUGCAGAUUUGCUGUGCCUGUGCGCAGAAGGAACUGAUAAAUGCCGUUGCAGUUGCCAUGGGGACAGGAGGCUAUCAGAAUGGCCUUGUGAUCCGCAGCCUCUCAGCGCGGCAGGCUCUCGCUCUCCCCCCCUCCUCCCUCUAGUCAGUGAGAUGGUGAAAUAAAUGUUCUGGAAAAAGGUUAACCCUCCCCGCUCCGGUCCCGAAGCGAGAGGAGGCAGCCCCGCGGAAGGUGAAUCGCUUAAGCACUUCCUUGGCCUGAGGGCCUAAACCCGGUUCUUAGGUCGGUUGUCAUACCCCCCUCCCCAGCCCCCAGGCCUCCAGCCGGCUCCUGGGAGGAGGUUUGGUUCACAAAGCUGUGUUUUUCAUAGAGAUUUUCAGCAGGCCCAAGUGUAAGGCUUUGAGUCAUCAGAACCCGGAUGUAAACACAGUUCCCGCCCCCCCCCCCACACACAAACACACACGUUCUGCACAGUUUGAGCGUAUUUUAUCUUUUUAAUAAUAUUUAGCUGGCAGCUUAAAACUGCAAGGAUGCCAGAUAUUUUAGCCAGCCACUUACAUCAUGCAGCGUCCAUCUUAGGGAGAGCGUUUGCCUGUCCCCUUCUUGUUCUGUCUCCCGACCCUGAGAAGGCAGGGACUCGAGUUCUUUCUGAAGUCAGCUUAUGGCAGUACAGGAAACCAGGUCCCUUAGAACCCUGGGCUUUAGCGUGAGCAUGACACCACCUCAGGCAACAGUGAAAGAGGGCAUGUUCCUGUCAGACACAAGACACCGCGUGAUUCAAGGUGAAACAGUUUCCAAGCUUGCAUUAUCGGUAACCUGAAAAAUGAUGAGUUUCACCAAAUUCCUGGAUGUUGCACAAGAGGACAAUGAGGCUAUUUCGGGUGCUGUGAGUGUGUCUGGAGCAGACCCUGGAAGCCAUUGUUUUCAGGGAGGAGACUGUUUUGGGGUUUCCUGCAGGAAUAAACGGAGGACCUCAUGAAGUUCCUUACUCUGGAUACUAAUUCUCUCAGUCACAGAGUAUACCCAUGGUGGUUAAUUGUUGCUGCCUGGGUGUCCAGCAAUGCUACUGGAAAGGCAAAGACAGCAUCUUUGGAAGCUCAGGGGACCUCGUAGGAGACUGCCACCCCAGCUUCUCUGCCUCUAACCUGGUGUUACAACCUGCCCACAGAAGUCAAGAAUCAGUGGGCAAAUUCCCAAAUUAAGGUUCUAUUUACUCUGCUGUUCCAGAGGCUUGUUUUAAGCAAGAUGCUGUGGUUUCAUCAAAAACAGUGAGCGCCCAUGAGUAAGUGAAAGUAGCUUUGAAUCUUGACAAAUAUGUUUGAAUUUCAUUUCUUGCGUUUCACUUUGGGGGGUUAGGUCAGUCAGCAUUUUUCUCUGUAAGCCCACUAAAAAACAUUUCUUAUCAGCUAAUAACCUGCCGUUCUGCACCGCUGAAUUGGUAAGGAACCCUGAGUCAAGAAUUUUUUUCCCUGUGCUUCCCCGUUUGCAGAUUUUAGCCAGUUAGGUGUCAUUAGUAUACUUUCCUCCUUGACCUUUCAAGCCAGAGGGUUCCUAAAUGUUACAUAAUAGCUCCACAGCUGGAAUUCAGCUGCUUCUGGAGUGGAGUAAACAUAACUCCUGAUAGGUCAACCGGGUGAGGGAGGGCAGAGAGUCUUGGAAGGUUGGGAAAGUCCUUCUUUCUUUCUAAAGCCAGAGCUCAGGAAUGAGCAGGGCCUCUGGUGUGAAAACUUUCCAGAUGGGGGAAGGAAGGGUAAGCUUUUGCCCUCUGGGUAGAUUCCAAGAAAUCGCUUUGGGGAGGCCAGCUAUUUUGAAAUUGCCUUUAAAGAAAACAGCACAAAUGUUUAAAUUGACCUGGAAAGCCCUUCCUUUUUCCUUUCCCUACAAUCCAAGUCUGUUCCCUUAAACAUUAAUCAACAGGAACAUUUGCCCAAGUUUCUCUCCCCCCGCCACCUCUUUUUUUUUAUUAUUAUUAUCUUUGGAUCAGGAAACUUUUGGAAGCUUUCCCAGGCUGGAGCUAUAGAAUGUUUCCAGGAAAAUGCAUAAGGAGUGUCUGUGUUUUGAGUUUUUCGGGAGGGGGCUGAACAUGUUUUUCAGAGAGACUGAGCUGGGAGCAGCCAGGUCUUGUGCAAGCGUCCAGCCAAGCAAAAGGGCAGACGGUGCCGGAAAGAUCUUUGAGCAUCCAAAAUUGCUGAAACAAAGGUGUGGUUUAGCGGGCCCGCCUGUUCUUGGCCUCUUCCAGCCUUUUAUUAUCGCAGCUGCCAUGAUGUCAGUCUGGUAGCUGGAGGACUCCUGUCUCCAGGAGAUAUGCUGAGAAACGGGGGGCCAGGGCACAAACUUCAUUCUCCAGUUAGCAGCACUUAUAAUUUCUGUGUGAAGGACCCCCCAAGACUUAGAUGGAGUGCAGGGAGUCAAUACUCACCCACUAGGCAGGGGCCCUGCCCAGGCAUGGACCGCAAGGCACAGAAAGUGUCCUUGGGCUGUUGCUGCCAAGGGUGGUGCCACCCCUAGCGCUUGCCAGCACAGAUCUACUUGGGCCUAGAACCCAGACAAAGCUGCAGGCACGCAUAUAUCACAAAUAUCUGCACACAAAAACAGAGAGCCAUCUGGGGAGGUGUGCAUGAGGCCAAGGGUAGAUGGGAACUCACAGGACACCUCACUGAUAGGGGCGGCUCCCAAAGCCAAGGUAGUUGGUGUUUCCUGGAAAUACCCUCUGUUCAGGCUGGGAAAAGAGGCAGAAAUAGCUCGGUAGAGAGGCCACCUGGGACAGGGCAGAGCUGCCCUGUCCACUGUCCCAUGAGAGGGCUGCUUGCUCCUGGGUCAGUCCCCUAUACGUGUGAGGACUGCAACCUCAGGAGAGGAGGUAGCAGCAGGGGCCUACAGUGCUGGAAAUGAGGGGACACAGACCCUGGCUUUCCACCCUCCAUGAGUUUGAAGACUACUUCCCAGUUAACACUGUCAUGGUUCCAGCAGUAAGUCUUUUUCGUUUCUACCCUGGGGAUACACUGACCCCAGAAAGCAUCUCCCCUACAGGAGGCUGGGAAGACGAUUUAUACCCCAGACUUUGAAAUGGUUGUAGCAACAAUGUCAGGCACCUCUUAUGUGUCAGGUAUUGUGCUAAAUGUUUUAAUGCAUUAUCUCUUCUAAUCCUCAGCUAAUGAGGUGGGUUCAGCUAUUCUCUUCUUUUUAAAAAUAAGGAAAUUGGAGCUCAGAGGGGUUAAGUAACUUGCCUUAGGCCACAUAUAGCAUGUGGGAAGCACAAUUUGAACUCAGGGUUGCCUGACUCCAGCAGAAUGUGGAAAUUAUCAAAUGAUACCAUUUAUAUCACACACAAGUAAAGUUUUGCUGAAGAUAAUUAAACAAUUGUUGCAGCAGUACAUCGAUAGGGAACUGCCAGAAAUUCAAGCCCAAUUCAGAAGAGGACAUGGAAUGAGGGAUAUCACUGCUGAUGUCAGAUGGAUCUUGGCUAAAAGCAGAGAAUACCAGGAAGAUGUUUUCCUGUGUUUUAAUGGCUAUGCAGAGGCAUUCGACUGUGUGGAUUAUAACAAAUUAUGGAUAACAUUGCAAAGAAUGGGAAUUCCAGAACCCGUAAUUGUGCCUAUGUGGAACCUGUAUGUAGAUCAAGAGGCAGUUGUUCAAACAGAACAAGGGGAUACUGAGUGGUUUAAAAUCAGAAAAGGUGUGUAUCGGGGUUAUAUCCUUUCACCAUACCUAUUCAAUCUGUAUGCUGAGCAAAUAAUCCAAGAAGCUGGCCUAUAUGGAGAAGAAUGUGGCAUCAGGAUUGGACAAAGACUCCUUAACAACCUGUGUUAUAAGAUGACACAACCUUUCUUGCUGAAAGUGAAGAGGGCUUGAAGCACUUACUGAUGAAUAUCAAAGACCACACCUCAACAUAAAGAAACCAAAAAUCCUCAUGACUGGACCAAUAAACAACAUUAUGAUAAACAGAAAAUAUUCAAGUUGUCAAGGAUUUCAUUUUUCUUGGAUCCACAAUCAAUACCCAUGGAACCAAUAGUCAAGAAAUCAAAAGACAUAUUGCAUUGGGUAAAUCUGCUGCAAAAGACCUCUUUUAUUAAAAAUCAAAGAUGUCACUCUGAGGACUAAGGUGUACCUGACCCAAGCCAUACUGUUUUUCAGUUGCCUCACUUACAUGGGAAAGUUGGACAAGGAAUAAGGAAGACCGAAGGAGAAUUGAGGCCUUUGAAUUAUGGUGUUGACAAAGAAUAUUGAAUAUACCGUGGGCUGCCAGAAGAAUGAACAAGUCUGUCUCGGAAGAAUUACAGCCAGAAUGCUGCUUAGGAGUGAGGAUGGCAAGACUUUGUCUCACUUACUUUGGACAUGUUAUCAGGAGGGAUCUAUCCCUGAAGAAGGACAUCAGGCUUGGUAAAGUAGAGGGUCACUGAAAAAGAGGAAGACCCUCAACGAGAUGGAUUGAUACAGUGGCUGCAACAAUGGGCUCAAACAACAACUGUGAGGAUGGCACAGGACCAGGCAACAUUUCAUUCUGUUAUACAUAGGGUUGCUUUGAGUUGGAACCAACUCAGUCCUACCUAACAGCAAUGACCCCCUCUAUCAUGUGACUUGGAGUGGGGGUGGGGGUCCUGAAUAGUCUAAACUAAACUUUGUAUCCCAAUUCCCUUGCCAGCAAUUUAUUUUAGGAUGGGUCUGUAACCCAGUUCCAGUAAAUGAGAUGUAGAGAGGGGUCUGCUGGGGGAGGAGGAGUUCUAGGCAAUAUUUCCUUGCUCCUAAAACAUGAGAGAAACAAUUGUCCUUCUGUAGCUGGAUGUUAUGUCUUGAGCAAUUGUUGGGACCACAGAAGCUGUCUUGCUGUGAUGAAGGGAGCUACUUUGAGAACCAGGCCAACAUGCUAAUGAUGAUAGAGCGGAAAUGUGGAAAGAACCUGGGUCCUGGUGGCACAGUUGAGCAAAUCAGUUACCUUGUCCUGGAGCCAGCUCCCUCUGCACUAGUUCCUGAAACAAGCGAUCCUUUCAUUCUUCAGUGAGGAAUCCUUGGCUUAACCCAGUAAAGCUGAGGUUGCUGUUACUUGUAGCCAAAAGCAUCCCAACAGAUCAACUUCACAGGGUCGCUGUGAUGACUAAAUAAAAUAAUGUGUGUAAAGUACCUAACACAGUGCCUGGCAUAUAGUAAGUUCUUAACAAAGAUUAAAGACUUUCCUCCUGAGACAUUCUAAGGUGAAUGCAUGAAUGACUGUGACAAAUGGCCCAAAGAACGAGGCAGAGGCAGAUGGUAAUAAGUAAUAAAGCUUAGAGCAGUUCAGAGGUGGGGCGCUGGAAUGACAAUGAAAAUGACGAUGACAAUGAAAUUUAUAUGUUAUGUUCUGAAGCUUCUCCAAUGGAAGCUCUUGGGGCUGUAACAAUAAUUCUCCUUUUUUACUUCUAGUUCCUUUUCUUACCCUGGUCAGAGUUCAACACUGCACUGAACAGGCUUUUCUAAUUGUGGGUGGCCACACUUGCACAAUCGGGGUGGUCCCUGAUUACCCUGAGGCAUGGAAGUCCUGCUACAGGAUGAAGGGGUAGAGUGCAAUUUGUAGCUCCAGGAGGAGCCAAGGUUUGGAAGCAGAACUAACGUACCCACACGACGUAAAAUGGGGCCUGCGAUUUGACUAAAGCACAGAGAGCCCUGCUUCCCCCCACCCCAAGACUGCCCCACGGAAGCCCUGCAGAGUUCUGCAGCUAGGAAAGGUCUGCCUUUGGGGGGCCCCAGGGUUGGGCGGCUUGCCUCACUUUUGGCGGGCUGUCCGGGCCACAGAGUUUUGCUUCAUGCCAGCCCCACAGCCCUUGCAAACCCCAUGCCAGGAGAGCUCAGCCACCCCAAUGUCUGCCAGACUCAUGUCUGCCCAACCACGUGGGCGGCCCCUGGCAGCAGGGGCCUGGGCAGGGUUUGUGCAAGGACAUUGUGGCACCCGCAGCAGGAUUGUGAGAGAGGCCAUGGCUCACUUCAGGGGAAGCCAGGAGGGAACCUGGAGGAGGCGGGAAGCAGAAGCCAUAGACUCAGGGCAGCCUCAGCCCCCUUUUCCAAGGCCAUUUUCACCUUAGAAGACUGUCCCUGGCCCCCUUUCCCUCUGACCUGUCCCUGGCAGUUUACUUCCUGCUUGUCCCUCCCUGUCCAGCUAGGUUUAGCACGGCCCUGCUUCCCAGCACUGACAAUUCAGUUCACCAGACAUUGGUUGAGAAUCCACUCUAUGUAAAAGGCCAUACACCUGCUAGCUACUGAGGGGUGGAAGUCCCUGGGUUGUACAAAUGGUUAAUGUGCUUGGCCUCCAACAAGCCCACCCUGAGCACCUCAGAAGAAAGGCCGGGCAACCUACUACCAAAACAUCAGCCAUUGAAAACCCUGUGCCACACAGUUCUACUCUGACACACGAGGUUGCCAUGAGUCGCAAUCAACUCAACGGUAACUGGCUUUGGUUACUGGGGGAUGAGAGAUACAAAAGCAACAAGAAUACAGUAGAAAGGACUUCAAAAUGGUCUUCUAAUUUCUCUCAGCCUCAGGUCCUUUUUUCUCUCCACAAAAGCCAAAUAUUUAAGAAAGCAAGAAAGUGAGUCUGCUGCAGGUGAAUCUAGGGCAGGUGCGGGCCCCUGUUUACCCCUCCCCCCGAGGCAGACUCCAUGGACAGAAUCUGAAAAGCCUGGCUGUAGACCAGAGGGGAAACUGAGGCCCAGGAAGGUCAAGUGACCUCCUUGAGUUAGUGGUCCAGCACCCUAUGCCCUAUCCAUCCUACUGUGCUGACACGUGGCGCUUGUUUCAAAGCUUUAAACUAUCCUCUGGGGAGAUGAGGCAAGUUAACAGGAAUAGAACGCAAGUGCCUGAGGCGUUAAAGGGAGCAAAAGGUUGGAAAUCAAGGAGGGAAAGGCUCCACAGAAGCGGGGGUGGGGCUGGGCCUUGAAAAGAAGGAGUAGGGUUUGCUAUGGGACUUGGCAGGGCUGGGUGGGGCAUUGGGUGGUAGGAAGGAAGCUACUGCAAGCCCCAGAGAAUACAGGUAGUACCUGAUUUACAAUGGGUUUCCGUUCCAAAGACUGUGUCCUAAAAGUCAGUUCUGAGGUAAGCUGAAUACCUCUUUUUUUAGCUUUCAUUAUUAUUGCCUUUUAUUAUCAGUAUCUUUAUAAAUCCAGUCUUUGUCAGUGAGUAAACAUCUGACAAUGAUAACAUCAGCAAAUGACUCGCUGCAACAUUGUACGUAGUAUAUAUAUUACUAAUGACACGAUGUAAAAAAAAAAAACGGUCAUAAGUGCGUUUCUUGGUAACUCAAACACGUCAUAAGUCAAGGACAAAGAGCUGUAGCCUGUACUAAGAGCUGAAGCCUGAAUGAGGACUGGCAACCAGAGACCUGGGUUCCAGCCCUGGCUCUGUCACUGCAAGCUAAGUGGCCUUGGGCUAGUGGCCUCCUCUCUCUGGGCCUGUUUCCUCGUAUGCAAAAUGCCAAGGGGGAAAGGGGGCUAGAUGGCCAUGCUGUGAUAUGCUCUGGAAUCUUCUCUGCCUCCCAAAGGAUUGGCCUUUGCCUCCCCGCCCCCCCCCCACCACCCAGGACACUCCCCAGUGUGUGCCAGGUGGCUGGAAUUGACACCGGCAGGGAGUGUCCCUGGAUGCCCCAGGCGGGCAGCACAGCGCUGGCAGGCCUCCUCAAGGUGCCUGCCCAGAGCUUUGGGGACCAGUGACAAACCCUGAGGAGGCAAGAACUGGGACAAAACUGGGGCAGGAGCCAGUUCUCUUCUGAGAAGUGUUCUUUCCAAUCCCGCCUCAGCCAGGCAGGACCCCUGCCCAAGUCUGCCCCCUGGAGCAGAAAGGGGGGCUUCCAGGGUAGGGGUGACAAGUUACUUAGCACCAAGCCUCCAUAUUCUCAUUUGUAAAUGGGGUAAAAAUAGUACUUUAGUAUUCUCAUUUGUAAAAUUGAUGCCAUCAACACCUCAAGGCAGCACCUUGAAUGCCUAGUACCGUGCCUGGCGAAGCAACCACUUGGUAAAUAUUUGGUCCCACGUGUUCCUAGAGGGCUGCCUGCUGCGGAAGAGCCCACAAUUUGAAUGCUCCUGACAUUAAACAUGCUGGUUGAAGUAGGGUCCCUUUAUGUCUAACACACCCAUCAUCACAAAUAACAGGAGAGAGUAGGGAACCAUGUGUGUGGGAAGUUAGCAAGAAGUCCACUAGAAAACAAUGUGUUUGUGCCCCCUGCUGGCCGGGAGCAAAGGUGCUGGCCUGUGCAGCUCAGGGGGCCUCCUGGGGGGCUCAGGGGGAUCAUUAUUAACUGGUCCCGCGGCUGCAGGACCAAUUAGCCCAGUAUUCACAGAGCAUUCACCCAGUGUCAGGCCUUGGUAGGGAUACAAACAGAGUGACAGAUAAACUACAUUUUUGGAGCCAACCGGUUUUGGAGUCAACCAGGUGUGGGUUCAGGCCCGGAGACCACUACUCUUUCUGAGUGUCCAUUCAUUCGUCAGAAACAGUUCUGGGUUCCAGGUACAGCAGUGAAGAAAGCUCCUCACAUCUUGGACUUCUUGUAGUGGAUAUAGUCAUCUAGCCCAAGGAACCUUCCCCAUAAACUAGAGAGUAGACAUCCUGGGUGUGGAUCUCAGGGACCCUGUCACUUGGGGGGACUAAAAGUCACCACCAAAAGCCAUGUCUUCUCAAGAGAAACAUCUCCCCUUUGAACCUAGGCAAUCGCUUGGUUGGUUCAUUUGGAAGGGACCCUAUUGUGCUCCUGUGGCUCCCAGUCUCGCCAAGUUCUCUCAUCCACCAGGUACCUGGCCGACCCUCAGCCCCAGGCUGCGUAGUGGUGGAGCCCUAACCUCUAAUGAGAGGCCACUGGAGUGAAUGUGGGCGGAUCAGGUAAACAGGAAGAGCUCCGCAGACAGUGCAUGGAUGGCCCACACUGUUUGGCCCCACAUGAAUAUUUUUCCUGCAGUACUUGAAUUAACUGGACUGGUCAGCCUUAUGACAUCGGCCUGGACAGAACUGGGGCAAGAAUCAUGCCUCUUCUGAGAAGUAUUCUUUCCAAUCCGACCCUCUUCCCUCUUGGGAAGCCCAGGCCUCAGCCAGGCACCCCUGCCUGUGCCUGUCACCUUCCUGGGUCCCUGUUCUUUUCCAGACCACUGGGCAAUUCCUGUCUGGCUUGGCAGGGCCUUGAGGAGGAUGGGGCAGUACGGUCUCACUGAGUUAAUUAUCUACCACCACCACAAUCAUCAAAUUUCCAUCCCCACUGGCCUUUAUUGCACACAUUAUAGAUGCAUGACUUACACGCGCACACACACACACUCAAAGCAAACAGAGGCCUGGAAACCAAUUGAUGCUAGAGGAAUGCUUUAAUACCUGUGCCAACACACAAGCCAAGUUGAGUCCAGUUCAUUUUUUGAAGAUGCCUGUAGUAUCAUCUCAUACCGUGUAUGUGUGUGUGCUGUUGCACUCAUUCAUGUAACAAGCUUUUAAUGAGCUAGGGCCAGGUAAUUGGGACAACGGCAGUAAACAAAUCACACAAAAAUUCCUGUCCAUACUGGAGCUCACGUAAAUUCAAGUGUGUGUGUGUGUGUGUGUGUGCGCGCGCGCAUGCACGCGCAGAGGCGUUAGGACAGAAAAUAUGCAAGUGACAUAACGGGACACUGGAUGGUAAUAUAUGCUAUGGAGAAAGCAAAAGCAGGAAAGGGGCUCCAGUGCCCUUGGAUGGUGUUGUUGUUGGGUGCCAUUGGGUUGACUCUGACUCACAGUGACCCUACAGGACAAAGUAAAACUGCCCCGUAGGGUAUCCAAGGCUGUAAUCUUUAUGGAAGAAGAUUGCCACAUCUUUCUCCUGCGGAGCAGCUAGUGGGUUUGAACCACCAACCUUUCAAUCAGCAGCCAAGCACUUAACCACUGUGCCACCAGGACUUCUUCCCUAGGAUGGGGGGCAAUUUUAAAUAGGAUGGUCAGGGAAGCUCUCAAGAAGGUAACAUAUAAGUUAAGACCUGAAGGAGAUGAGCAAGCUAGCCAUGGAGCUGUUUGGUAGAAGAGGAUUCCAGGCACAGGAAGUUGCAAUGCAAAGGUGGGAACAUGACCAGUGGUCAGAGAGGUGGUUCUGGAAAGAACAAGCGGAGAGCAGUAGAACAUGAAGUUAGAAAGGGAGUCGUGGAGGGGCAGGCAGUGUUGGCCUUGAGAGCUAUUGGAAGGACAUUGGUGUUUUCUCCAAGUGAAAUGGGAGCCAUUGCAGAGUUUUGAGCAGAUGGGUGACAUCAUCUGUCUGUAUUUUCAUGGGAUCACUCUGUAGGUAGGCAAGGGUGGGAGAGCAGGGAGACCUGGCUAUGGGAAGAAUGUAGGUAAAGGGAUGGUGGCUGGGACUAGGGAGGUAGUGGCCAAGGUGGCGAGAAGGGAUCUACUUCUGGAUAUGCUCUGCAGGUAGAACAGAUGGGUUGAGUUAGGUGAAAAAUCAUUCCUUUCGAUGUCUAUAAUGCUUCUGUGUAUUUCGU
Long non-coding RNA from Loxodonta africana (African savanna elephant), 10680 nucleotides. RefSeq lists it as uncharacterized. The transcript is spliced from 4 exons. The record is from RefSeq and is a predicted model, not a curated record. Lineage: Eukaryota; Metazoa; Chordata; Mammalia; Proboscidea; Elephantidae.